Molecule: ribosomal RNA, 1475 nt
Filed under: bacterium THCL7
Lineage: Bacteria
Description: partial 16S ribosomal RNA
Rfam family: Bacterial small subunit ribosomal RNA
Source: RNAcentral
UUUAUUGCAUGGAGCCACCAUGCAGUCGAGCGGAUCAUAGAACUUGGUUCCUGUUUCUUGCCGGACGAGUGAGUAAUGCCCAUGAAUCUGCCGGGUGUUGGACUGAAACAUCUCCAAAGGAACGCUGCUACCACCUACAUACCCACUUUUCCACUCCUGGGGACCUUCUGACCUUGCGCUUUCGCAGGAACCUACGUAUGAUUCCCUAGCUGGUGAGGUAAUGGGUCACCUAAGCGAUCAUCCGUGACUGGACUGAUAGGCUAAUUGAUCACCUGAUCACUGACACUGGGACUGAAAUCCUACCCAAAGUCCUACUGGAGAAUAUUGUACGAAGUCUUCCACCCUGAUCCAAACUUGCAUCGAGCGUCACCACGGGCUUCAUAUUGGCCUUCACUUCAAAUAGCUCUGAUGGUCAGGAACAUCAUACACUGCAGUUUCUGCCUUUCCCACGAAAGAACCUCCGCCUAACUCUGCGCCUAAAUCCGCGCCAAUACCCACGGUGCUACCUAUAUGCCAAAUUACUGCCCGAAUUAUUGGCCUAAGAGCGCUCGCAAGCUGGACGUUAAAUCCCAUGUGCUCAACCUGGGAUCUGCCUUCGAAACUGCACUGCUAACAGAUGGACUAGAGUGGUGGAAUUUCCUGUGUAGCGGUGAAAUGCGUAGAUAUAGGAAGGAACACCAGUGGCGAAGGCGACCACCUGGACUGAUACUGACACUGAGGUGCGAAAGCGUGGGGAGCAACCAGGAUUAGAUACCCUGGUAGUCCACGCCGUAAACGAUGUCAACUAGCCGUUGGGAGCCUUGAGCUCUUAGUGGCGCAGCUAACGCAUUAAGUUGACCGCCUGGGGAGUACGGCCGCAAGGUUAAAACUCAAAUGAAUUGACGGGGGCCCGCACAAGCGGUGGAGCAUGUGGUUUAAUUCGAAGCAACGCGAAGAACCUUACCAGGCCUUGACAUCCAAUGAACUUUCCAGAGAUGGAUUGGUGCCUUCGGGAACAUUGAGACAGGUGCUGCAUGGCUGUCGUCAGCUCGUGUCGUGAGAUGUUGGGUUAAGUCCCGUAACGAGCGCAACCCUUGUCCUUAGUUACCAGCACGUAAUGGUGGGCACUCUAAGGAGACUGCCGGUGACAAACCGGAGGAAGGUGGGGAUGACGUCAAGUCAUCAUGGCCCUUACGGCCUGGGCUACACACGUGCUACAAUGGUCGGUACAGAGGGUUGCCAAGCCGCGAGGUGGAGCUAAUCCCACAAAACCGAUCGUAGUCCGGAUCGCAGUCUGCAACUCGACUGCGUGAAGUCGGAAUCGCUAGUAAUCGCGAAUCAGAAUGUCGCGGUGAAUACGUUCCCGGGCCUUGUACACACCGCCCGUCACACCAUGGGAGUGGGUUGCACCAGAAGUAGCUAGUCUAACCUUCGGGAGGACCGGUUACCCAACGGUGUGACUCAUGANUGGGGGAAGUCGAACACGAGCAGCAUGG